Molecule: ribosomal RNA, 465 nt
Filed under: Vreelandella stevensii
Lineage: Bacteria; Pseudomonadati; Pseudomonadota; Gammaproteobacteria; Oceanospirillales; Halomonadaceae
Description: partial 16S ribosomal RNA
Rfam family: Bacterial small subunit ribosomal RNA
Source: RNAcentral
CCUACGGGAGGCAGCAGUGGGGAAUAUUGGACAAUGGGCGAAAGCCUGAUCCAGCCAUGCCGCGUGUGUGAAGAAGGCCUUCGGGUUGGAAAGCACUUUCAGUGGGGAAGAAAGCCUUGGGGCUAAUACCCUCGAGGAAGGACAUCACCCACAGAAGAAGCACCGGCUAACUCCGUGCCAGCAGCCGCGGUAAUACGGAGGGUGCGAGCAUUAAUCGGAAUUACUGGGCGUAAAGCGCGCGUAGGCGGUCUGAUAAGCCGGUUGUGAAAGCCCCGGGCUCAACCUGGGAACGGCAUCCGGAACUGUCAGGCUAGAGUGCAGGAGAGGAAGGUAGAAUUCCCGGUGUAGCGGUGAAAUGCGUAGAGAUCGGGAGGAAUACCAGUGGCGAAGGCGGCCUUCUGGACUGACACUGACGCUGAGGUGCGAAAGCGUGGGUAGCAAACAGGAUUAGAUACCCUGGUAGUC